This 334-nucleotide unclassified non-coding RNA is filed under the name soil metagenome. Its description in RNAcentral is "partial contains 5.8S ribosomal RNA, internal transcribed spacer 2, and large subunit ribosomal RNA". The stretch from base 1 to 120 matches the Rfam family "5.8S ribosomal RNA", at positions 35 to 154 of the family's 154-position model. The record is from RNAcentral.
GAUGAAGAACGUAGCGAAAUGCGAUAAGUAAUGUGAAUUGCAGAAUUCAGUGAAUCAUCGAAUCUUUGAACGCACAUUGCGCCCGCCAGCACUCUGGCGGGCAUGCCUGUUCGAGCGUCAUUUCAACCAUCAAGCCCUGCUUGUGUUGGGGUCCUGCGGCUGCCCGCAGGCCCUGAAAACCAGUGGCGGGCUCGCUAGUCACACCGAGCGCAGUAGCACAUCUCGCUCAGGGCGUGCGGCGGGCUCCAGCCGUUAAAGCACCCACCUUUCGCAAGGUUGACCUCGGAUCAGGUAGGAAUACCCGCUGAACUUAAGCAUAUCAAUAAGCGGAGGA